Molecule: ribosomal RNA, 417 nt
Filed under: uncultured bacterium
Lineage: Bacteria
Description: bacterial SSU rRNA
Rfam family: Bacterial small subunit ribosomal RNA
Source: RNAcentral
GGGCCCGCACAAGCGGUGGAGCAUGUGGUUUAAUUCGAUGCAACGCGAAAAACCUUACCUACCCUUGACAUCAUCAGAACUUGUUAGAGAUAACUCGGUGCCUUCGGGAACUGAUAGACAGGUGCUGCAUGGCUGUCGUCAGCUCGUGUCGUGAGAUGUUGGGUUAAGUCCCGCAACGAGCGCAACCCUUAUUCUUAGUUGCCAGCACGUAAUGGUGGGGACUCUAAGGAGACUGCCGGUGCUAAGCCGGAGGAAGGCGGGGACGACGUCAAGUCAUCAUGGCCCUUACGGGUAGGGCUACACACGUGCUACAAUGGCCGGUACAGAGGGUUGCCAAACCGCGAGGUGGAGCUAAUCUCACAAAGCCGGUCAUAGUCCGGAUUGCAGUCUGCAACUCGACUGCAUGAAGUCGGAAUC